UACCAAACACACCCAAAUCAAAACCCUUCUACCUCAAACCCUUCGAUUCCAACACCCCCUUCAAGCUGGAGGGGGUAGAUAACACACCUAGCUUUCCCAAAUGAUCACGAUGAAGAGGUCCGGCGAGUGGUUUGGUGAANNNNNNNNNNNNNNNNNNNNNNNNNCAGAUCUGCCAACUGGGCAGGAGAUCGAACAAAGUUUAACGAAAUCAGCCCAGCUAGGUAUUGGUCGCGUACAAAAUGACAAUCGAUUUCAACGUGCUUCGUCCGUUCGUGAAAAACAGGGUUUUUUGCUAUGUGAAUUGCUGCUUGGCUAUCGGAGUGAAGAGGGACUGGAAGAGAGAUAGGAAUUGACAAAUCCUCAAAAAGACGGACCAACCAUGUGAGCUCUGCAACUACUCGCCGCAUAGAUCUGUAUUCUGCUUCGGCGGAACUGAGCGAGAUGGAAGUUUGCUUCUUGGACUUCCAAGAGAUCGGAGAGGUACCAAGAGAAAUAUAAAAACCACUGACCGACUUCCUCGAAUCCGGGCAAGUGGCCCAAUCGGAGUCACAAAAAGCUAGGAGCUUGAAGGAGGAGGAAACAGACAUAAAAAGCCCUAGCCCAGGAUCUUUGAGCAGAUAGCGAAGAACACGGAGUGCUGCAUCUAGGUGGGGUUGUCGAGGGUGCUGCAUGUACUGACUGAGGUGUUGGACAGUGAAGGAUAAGUCUGGGCGGGUGUGAGUGAGGUAGUUAAGUUUUCCAAGGAGAUGACGAUACAAGGUGGGAUCUUUCACUGGUUCCCCUAUGUGAGUAGACAAACGAGUAGACGAAUCGAGUGGAGAAGAAACAGGGGACAAGUGCAGAGAGUCAAAUUCUCGGAGAAGGUCUAAAGUGAAUCUGCGCUGAGAAAGGAGAAGUCCAUCUGUUUUUCGGACAACUUCCAUGCCUAGAAAAAAAUGUAAGUCCCCGAGAUCUUUAAUUUUGAACUCUUGAUUGAGAAAUUCUUUCAAAGCAUGUAGUUCGUUGGUGUCAUUACCUGUCAAGAGUAUAUCAUCCACAUAGACAGCCACUAUAGAAACGGAAGAAUCUGACCUUUUAAAGAACAAAGAAUAGUCGUUGAAUGAGUGAGUAAAUCCCUUAAAAUUCAAAGCAGUUGUAAGUUUAGCAUACCACUGACGAGAUGCUUGUCGUAGCCCAUAAAUUGAUUUCUUUAGCUUGCAUGCAUGAUUAGGUGAAGUAGGUAUAACUCCAGGUGGGAAUUUCAUGUACACUUCUUCAUUUAGAUCUCCAUGUAGGAAAGCGUUAUUCACAUCUAGCUGGUAUAGACCCCAUCCUUUCUUUACGGCAGUGGCUAGUAUGCAUCUGAUUGUGGUCAUCUUCACCACCGGUGAAAAAGUUUCAUUGAAGUCUAUUCCCUCUUUUUGUAUGUCUCCUCUAAUGACCAAUCUUGCCUUUAGUCUUUCCACACUCCCAUCUGAAUGGUGUUUAACCUUAUAGACCCAUUUGCAUGGUAAAGCUUUCCUCCCGGGUGGUAAUUCAACCACUUCCCAAGUCAUAUUAAGUUCAAGUGCCUCAAUCAAUCUCUUUAUUCAUUGCUUCUUGCCACCCUGGGUGGUGUGUUGCCUGUAAAUAGUCAGUAGGUUCUUGUAUAUUGGACAAUGUGUUUAGCAUAUGUUGAUUGGUAGAAGAUAGUCCACUGAAAGAUAUAUAAGUAGGUUUAACUGGUGUGAGAAAGCAAGAGUUGCUAACAUCUGUGAGUUGGAGUGCAUUACAGAUAAAAUCUUUGAGAUAAGAUGGAGUUGUGUGUGGUCUGGUAGACUUCCUAAUAAGAACAUCCAUCGUAGAAUCAGAAUCCAAAGAAGGAAAAACUGGUGUAGAUGUAUGUGGUUGAUUAGAUGUAACUGGAGAAUCUGGAGAGAAACUAGAAGGAGAGAUAGAGGGAAUAGGUGAACUAGGAUGGCUGGAAUAAAUGGGGGAAGAACAACAGUCACUUGAUGCAGUAGCCUUUUUGGAGGCUUUAGUGUGUGGUCUGAUAGGAAAAGAUAGAGGCUCAGGAGUCUGAUGAUUUGCAGAUAAUGGAGCAGUGGGUAAAGAAAUCUCAGAAGAAGAAUUAGACUUAAUAGAAGCAAAAGGAAAGAAUUCUUCAUGAAAUAUAACAUCUCUAGAAAUGAAAGGCUUCAAAUUCUUGAGGUUCAAGACUUUGUAACCCUUCUUUCCAUGAGGAUAACCUAAGAACACACAAGGUAUAGCUCUAGGUUCAAACUUAGUUCUUUGAUUUGAGACAGUAGAAGCAAAACACAAACACCCAAAGCAUCUAAGGUUAGAGUAAUUUGGCUUGCUUGAAAAAAAGGACUUCAUAAGGAGUCUUAAGCUUUAAGACACUUGAAGGAAAUCUGUUGAUCAAAUAGGUUGCUGUAAGAAGGCAGUCACCCCAGUAUGAUGUAGGCAGGUGUGAUUGGUAUAACAAGGCUCUAGAUGUCUCUAAAAGAUUCCUGUGCUUUCUCUCCACCACUCCAUUUUGUUGUGGUGUGAACACACAAGUGGUUUGAUGAAUAAUACCUAGUGACUCAAAAAAUUCUGAUUGAAUUUUACCACUUCCCAAUUCAAAAGCAUUGUCUGACCUUAUGAUUUUUACCUUGCUGUUAAACUGUCUUUCUACCAUAGCUAUAAAACCUCGUAGAAUAGUGAAUGCAUUGGAUUUGUUGGUUAGUAGGUAGGUCCAUGUGCCUCUACUGAAAUCAUCAACAAUUGUAAGGAAGUAUUUAAAACCAUCAUAUGUAGCACUAUUGUAUGGUCCCUAGGUAUCCACAUGAAUUAAUUCAAACACUUUCUUAGUAGAAAUAGAACUAGAGGGAAAUGGAAGUUUGGACUGUCUUGCCAUAGGACAAAUAAGACAUGGACUGAAGAAUUUGGAACACUUGGAUAUAGAAACUGAUGAAACAUUUUUCAUAUUGCUAAGGGGCAUAUGGCCUAAUCUGUAGUGCCAUAGUUUCUCUUUUACAGUUGAAUCAGAAAAACUAAAACAUGAAUGCAAACUAAGAUUGGAAACAGAAUUCCUUCUUGGAAUAAAAACACUUCUAAAUUUGAGUGGACUCUUAGACACUGGUGUUGUAUGUUUGGAUCUGAGAAUGUAGAGGGCCCCUUCCUCUUUACCAAUCACCGGUGGGCUCUUCACUCAAGGGCCCUGUAUAAGAAAACAUGAAAAAGGUGUGAAUAAAAUAUAUUGCUUGAGUUGUCUGCACAACUUGUGCACAGACAACAGAUUAUAUUUGAAGGAUGGAAUGUAAAGAACAUUUCGAAGAAUCAAAUUAGGCAAAAGAGAAAUAGUUCCUGAAUGAGUGACCUGAACUCUGUAAGAGUUUGGGAGUUUUACCAUGAGAGGUUUAGCCAAAGUUUUUAAUUCUGUAAAAAAAAUCUUUGUUAAAAGACAUAUGUUCUGUUGCUCCACUAUCCAAUAUCCAAGACUCAUCAUUGAUUUGAAUUAAACAGGCUAAAUCUUCAGAUAAAUUGGUCAUACCAGCAUGGCUCACAUUUGCUGCAACAUCAGGGGUAUCUGCACUGGAAUGUCCCACUCUCACUUGCUGAAGAAGCUGCAGCAGCUCAGCCACAUUUUCCUUGGUGAGAUUCUGAACUCCUGAUGCACUUCCCUGUUCAUUUUCUUCAUUUGAGAAGGAAGCUUUGUUUGCCUGGGCACCUCUUUGAAAUCUUUUCUCCCUUGUGAACUUGAAAUCAGCUGGAAACUCAUGAAUUCUAUAGCAUUUCUGGAUGCUAUGUCC
This 3755-nucleotide long non-coding RNA is filed under the name Nicotiana tabacum (common tobacco). Its description in RNAcentral is "long non-coding RNA (NTAB_LNC005017)". Lineage: Eukaryota; Viridiplantae; Streptophyta; Magnoliopsida; Solanales; Solanaceae. The record is from RNAcentral.